UCUUCGUCUUCUUCAUCCAACCCUUUCUCUCUCAUACGAAGACGAAAGAAAGUCUCCGCUCCCCUUGGAGACCGAGAGAAACUACAAGAAAAAAAAACUACAGAAAUUUAUAUAGAUAACUACAGAGCGAGAAACUGUAUAUUUACAGAGAGUGUGUGGUCCCGUACAGUGAGAUUAUGGGAAGUGGUUCUGCAACUCUCCCAGCGAAGCGUUCCAUACCCUUCACAGACAACAGAAUGGACGACCCGAGCUCUCUUAACGGAUCCUCUAAACGAUCCAAGAAGCCUCCUUUGCAGCAGCAGCAACAACAACCCCUUGUCGUUCCCCCGGGACACGUGGCCUUCCGCUUGCUAUGCCACGCGUCGAGGAUCGGAGGCGUCAUUGGGAAGUCCGGGAGCGUGAUCAAGCAGCUCCAGCAGGCCACCGGGUCCAAGAUUCGGGUCGAGAAUGCCCCGGCAGAGUCCCCCGACCGGGUAGUGGCGGUGGUUGCGCCGAGCGCUGUGGUGGCCAAAAUUUCGCUGAAGAGUCCAGUUGGAGGUGGUGGCGAUGGAGGAGGGGAAGAGAUGGAAGUGUCCAAGGCGCAGGAGGCGCUGCUGAAGGUUUUUGAUCGGAUUCUUGAGGUUGCGGCCGAGAGCGGCGCUGUUGGUGCCAGUAUUGGUGUCGUGUCGUGCCGGUUGCUGGCGGAUGCUGCGCAGGCCGGGUCCGUGAUUGGGAAGGGAGGGAAGAUUGUGGAGAAGAUAAGAAAGGACAGCGGGUGUAAAAUUAGGGUUUUGACUGAGAAGUUGCCGGCUUGUGCUGCCUCCACUGAUGAGAUGAUCGAGAUAGAAGGGAAUGUUUUGGCUGUUAAGAAAGCACUUGUUGCGGUCUCUCGGCGUGUUCAAGAUUGUCCAUCGGUUGAUAAGACAAAAGCUGUUGGAAACAGACAACUUGAGGCAGUAGUUCCUCAAGAAACCUUGCCUGAUCUGCGUAUGGAACAUCUUUCUCACAGAAAUUUGAUGCUGCCUACUUAUACUACUAGCUCCCUCAGUCUGCCUACCAGCUCCAUCAGCUAUGUUUCCGGGGUUCGCCCCUUGGCAUUAGAGUCUGAAAGGAUCACGGCACUUGAAGAAAAAAUGCAACCACAGGAAGUUUCAUUCAGAAUUCUUUGUGAAAAUGAUAGGGUUGGGAGUGUAAUUGGAAAGGGUGGCUCAGUUAUCAGGGCUCUUCAGAGUGAUACUGGUGCUAAUGUAAGUGUUGGAGUGUCAUUGGCUGAUUGUGAUGAACGAUUAAUAACGGUUUCUGCAUCAGAGAACCCUGAAUCAAGGUAUUCGCCAGCUCAAAAGGCUGUGGUUCUCGUUUUCUCUAGGUUUUUAGAGGCUAGCUCUGAAAAGGGACAAGAUUCUGGCAAUAAAGGUUCAUCUGUUACUGCACGGCUUGUUGUCCCAUCAAAUCAAGUUGGUUGUUUAUUGGGUAAAGGAGGUGCAAUAGUUUCUGAAAUGCGGAAGGUAACUGGUGCUAACAUAAGAGUGAUAGGGGGUGACCAGGUCCCAAAGUGUGUCACAGAGAAGGAUGUAGUGGUACAGAUUUCAGGAGAUUUUUCAAGUGUACAAGACGCAUUGUACAAUGCCACUGGUAGAUUACGGGAUAACCUUCUAUCCAGUAUAGUAAACAGUGCUGCAACAAGGAAUGCUUCGUCUUUGCUAACUAAUACUAGUCCCUACGCAAGGAUGAGGGACCCUGCUCCUCCUGGAAUAAAUACUUCACCACCAAUUGGUGUUACUCAUAGUUUCACUCAACAUUCUACACUUAGUAAAGGCUUAGAUCAUCUUGGACUUUCUCACACUUUAGAUCAUCCUUCUUCACCAAGACAAUGGGAAUCACAGAUGAUGGCUGGAGUUAGUACAAGGGGAUUCUCUGAAGCUGGCGGGGGAUUCUCUAAUGCUGUUAGGGGAUUCUCUGAUGCCAGCAGGGGUUUCUCUGAUGCUGGCAGGGGAUUAUCUGAUGCUGGCAGGGGUUUCUCUGAUGCUAUCAGGGGAUUCUCUGAUGCUAGUAGGGGAUUAACUUCUCUAAAAGGUGGCUUGGAACUGGGAAGCAGUGGAAGCAAAUCAGCAGCUAUUGUAACAAAUACAACCGUAGAGAUUGUAGUUCCUGAAAAUGUUAUUGGCUCUGUGUAUGGGGAGAAUGGGAACAACUUGACUCGACUAAGACAGAUUUCAGGUGCUCGGGUCAUUGUGCACGAACCACGUCCUGGAACAAGUGAUAGAAUCAUAGUCAUAUCUGGUACACCCGAUGAAACCCAGGCAGCUCAGAGCUUGCUACAUGCUUUCAUUCUUACUGGACCGUCAUGACAACUUGUAGAGAAGUGAGAAGGAAACAAUUUAGGUCUAUUGGUCUUGCAUACUCUCGUCAUCUCGGUCAAAGUGUCUCCACAGUACAAGGAAGAUGAUUGAGAUUUAAGGUAGGCCUAGUUGACAAAUUUGGUGGUGGCAUGAAAAUUUCCCUUGAUCUCAUGAAAAUAACUAUCAAGCAUUUUAGACAUUUUGGCUGCUGGAUAUCUCUUCUGUUUGAGGCGGUUUAUCAUCACAGCCCCAUCAGGAAACACCCCAGAAACAGGCAGUUCAUCAUCACAACCCCAUCAGGAAAAUCCAUUCUAUAUAGGAUUGGUUGAGCAAGGGAGUGCCGAUCUCAGGAGCCAGCUCACCCACGCCAACAAGCGUAUUGAUGAGAUCCUGUCUUGUUUGCCACCUAUAACUGAUCAGAAUGUCAAACGGAGGGCAAGUGGAUCUCAAGAGAAUAGAUUGCGAAGGCGUGGUCACCCCAACACGAGCCGUUUGGUUCGGACUGCCACUCCGAGCAUUGUGCCAUUGGGGCAGAUUUCUAGAAAUGACCGAUCUGCACACACUCAGAGAAAUGAGCAAGCAGCUCACAUGUCUAGGAGACAGCCUAAUCAACCCGGAUGGGCUGGUACAAAUUGAAGGCGAGGUGGGAUUCCCUUGAAUCCACUGGCUCAAGUCCAUGCUAAUAACCAUGGUCAAGAAGAGGGCCUACCCCUUGUAAGGGAGAUUGGGGUGGAUGAUGGGCGACCCAGAGCUGUGCGCCCAUAUGGACGACAUGUGGCUUCCCCGAUAAGGUAUUCACCAUCACCAAUACGCCAUCUGUCACCCUAGCGAGCUCCAUCGUCACCGCGAGAUCGAAGGAGUGGAUCCCUUUAAAGGAAUGACUGAAGAAACUAUGUUCACAGAGAGGUUACUCAUGUCACUCGAUCUCGAGAUACCAGAAUUUGAGUUCGUGUUAACGAUCACUCACUGACCUCAUCAACGAAUUGUGAGUUUUGCUAAAGAUAGCUAUUGGAUGGAGAACUGUCACGAAGACAAGUCAGAGAGUGUUCAUAACACUCACUCUCGAAGGUAAGAGCCUGAUCUGAGAGAACAUCUCAACUCUGCUCAUAGUUUCAGCGGUAGCUGUCAGCCCGACUUGCAUGAGCGCUUAAACUCACAGCGGAGACAACCAAGUUGGGAUUAUAAUCAUCUUCCAAGGGAAAACCCUCAUGUGAGGCGUGAUAAUGGGAACGUCCCAAUGAACUGAGCUCCAGCUUGGAGGGAGGAUAACACGCAACCCGGAUUGAGAGCAAGUCAUUAGCUCCCAAAUAAUUCGACAGUGAGGGAUCCAACCCUAAAACGACUUGCUGUGAUGGAGGAUUAGAUGAGGCUCCUUCUGUUAGAAAGAAACAAGGAUGACUGUGAUUAUGAUGAAAAGCUCGAGCCAUUUGCUCUUCACAUUGGCGCAACAUUGUAUCCGCCUGGCUCUAAGAUGCCACUGAUGGCGACCCACGACAGAACUACCGAUCCGUCUAACCACAUCAGGACCUUCAACACCUUAAUGAGGGCCCAUAAUGUAGGCGUCCACAUGCAAUGUGUUUUAUUCCCAGCCACUUUGACUGGAGCUGCCAAAUUAUGGUUUGACAAGUUCAAGAGGCAGACAAUCACUUCCUGAAAUUAAUUGUUGUCAGAUUUCAAGAAGCAGUUUCGAGCUACCAAGGAGAUACAGGUGGAGGCAAACUUAUUGGCCAACAUAAAGCAGCAACCAGGUAAGUCUCCCAAGGCUUACAUAAACCGGUUCACCAAUAUUGCAGCUUGAGCACGAGAUGCCGAUGACAGUGCCAAACUCAUGGAAAUGCGGUCUGAAAUCACUGUAGGAAGUGAAUUAUGGAAGGAGCUCCAAAGGAAAGGAGUUAAAAACACAGAUGAAUUUUUAGCUUCAGCUCAAGAGUGGAUUAACCUCGAGGAGGCGGAGUCCACCGUAGUAGGAGCUAGUAGUGUUCCAAUUCAACCCACUAGAGUGGUGACAAACAUUGUAGCGUCAACUUGGCCAGUUACCCAUAAUAACUAGACAAGUAAUAAUAAUAAGAGGAAAGGGAACAAUGAAGGGGACCAAGCAUGGUCCAAGAAAAAUAAAGCUGGGGAGACGUACACCUCAAUUUUCAUUGUGUUUACUGUUCUAACAGAUACACAAGAAAGUUUAUACCUGGUUAACUCUACUCGCCUUCCUUGGAAAAACAGAAAUCGACGCGCUGAGAGAGAGCCGACAAAGUUUUGUCGUUACCAUAACGACAUUGGUCAUACUAUAGACCACUGUCGCCAUCUGAAAGAUGAAAUUGAGACGUUGAUUCGGACUGGAUCGUUAGCACAGUAUGCCCGAAAUCGGGUAGCCCCUAACCAACAGGUCGCACGGAAUCUGCGACCAACUUCGGGUAAUCAGCCAAAUCCACUCGUAGCUUUUCCAGUUCUAGAAAACCCUCUCAUCCCACCUUCAGUAGAAGGGAGGGACAUAGCCACUAUCAUAGGCUAGCCAUGUUUAGCUGGAACAAGUAAUGGGGUCCAUAAGAGAUACAUUUAGGAGCUGAAGACCCACGACAGUGCGGUAUAUACUCUUGAGCAGCGCUUGCCAAAGCAGCAGAGAACUGAUAAACAACCCAUCAUUUUUAUGGAAGAGGACAUCUGCCACGUCCAAUUCCCACACAAUGAUCUGCUUGUGAUAACCUUUCAGCUCACCAACAGGAGAGUCUGGAGAAUUCUGAUCGACAACGGUAGCUUAGUAAAUGUGUUAUUCAGGUCCACAUUGGAAAAGAUGGAACUUUCAGUCACAGACCUAAAAGCCUCAUCAACAACUCUUUAUUGGUUCUCAGGAGAAGGGUUGGCAGCAAUAAGGACGAUUGAGCUCGUUGUAUUAAUCGGUGAUGAAGCUCGAGCCACUGCAAAGAUGCUCGAAUUUAUUGUUAUAGAUUGUCUGUCUGCCUAUAACGCCAUCCUAGGGUGACUUGCCUUAAUAAUCUUUGAAGCCAUAACUUGUGUUCGCCAUCUAACCAUGAAAUUUCCCUCACCAAUAGGAAUAUGUACAGUUAAAGGAGAUCGGCUUGUUGCCAGAGAGUGAUAUAGCAUCUCGAUAAAGGGAAGAACGCAACAUGGGUAGCAAACAAUGGUAAUUAUCGUGGAAGCAGAGGAGCUUCAAUUAAUGGAGAUUGAGGUCGUCGAAUUAUAAGAGAUUGACAUACGAGUGAGUGAGGAUAAGUCAGAGCUCUAGGCUCUUGAGGAACUGGAGGAGGUAAUCCUCGAUCAGGAAGCAACUUCCAAAGUUGUGAAGAUUGGAAGAAAUCUCGGUAUUGAGCAGAAGAGGAACCUGAUUGAGUUUCUUAGAAAUAACCUCGACAUCUUCGCAUGGUCAUGCUAACAUGGUUGGCAUUAGUCCUAAUGUGAUCAUGCACAUGUUGAAUCUGGAAAGGAACAUGCCAGCAACGCAACAAAAAAGAAGGCAAUUUGGAAAAGAAACAGAAGAAGUGACAACUCUAUAAUAUAGAGUUACCUACAAAGCUAAGGAUUGGUGUGAUAUUCUUAUUUUUGUUUAAGAGCUAGUUUUCGUUCUGAGGGAAAAUAAGUAAAAAAACAAUGAUAAAUUUGUUGGAGUUGAGUGAGGUGGAAAUGAGCUAAUGUUAUUUAAAAUGAUAAUUUUUUGUGUAGAAUUCUCGAGAUGCUGCAGCAACGUUGAAGCAUUGUGACUAGGCAGCAAGUAUUUUUGGGUCAACAUGAGGAGCUGCCAUCUCAGCAAUAUAAAUCAAUCUUUUUGAAUUAACUUGACUUGGGCUGAAUCGUAAAUGAAGAGAUUAAUUAUGUUGGUGCAUAUUUAGCAAAAGGACAAAUAAUUGGAUAAAGGAAGUCGUGUGGAAAGGAAGAAUGGGAAAUAAUUGAAGCUUUAAUAUCACAUAUCAUAUAUAAAUAUAUGUCAUCUUUUAGAGGAGAAAGGGGAUACGACCAACCACCAUUGAACAAUAGAAAGUGGUGAAUGAAGAAGAAGAAGAAGAAAAGGCAAAAGAAAGAGGAGGACAAGAGGAGAUAACCACUUGGGGACACUUAUUGGGGCUUGAUUUUCUCAUCAUUUUCUUAGUAUAUAAUUUCUUCUCUUGUAUUUUUCUUGUCAAUGUUUGAAUUUAUUAUUACUAUUUUAAUUAUGAGCUAAUUUUUUUAGUAGCUAGAAUAAUUGUUGAACCCUAAUAUGUGAAUUUUGUACUUUGUUGAGGAUGCUUAAUGCAAUUCGAAGUUUAUUCAUUCAAGUGAUUUUAAUGUUUAAAUGCUUGCUAUUGUUUGAUCACCAAUAGUGGGCAAUUGAGUUAAUUAAUAAUUUUGAAAAUAAUUUAAUUAAUGGACAUACAACUUGAAUGGUUCAAGAUUAAGUUCUUUGAAUUUAAUUUGUGUUACUAUAGACAUAUAUUAAUGCAUUGCAUAAUCUUUGUGGAAUUGGUGCUUGGCAAAUAUUCUUGAAGUUAGAUUGACAUAAACAUAUAUGUUAGUUUAAUUAGAGAAUUUAUACCAUAGUGAUUCCGACGAGAACCUAGGACUUUAAUUGGAAUUCUUGAUUAAUAAUACCCAAUUUGCUAUGGCACACUGGCAACAUUAUCAUCAGUUUUGCAUAUUAGGGGGAAUUAAUUGUUCUAGCUUGUUUCAUUCUCUUGCUAUCUUAUUAUUUUGUUUUUUUUUAUUAUUUACUUUCUUGCUUAGUUUUUAGGAUCAACCAAAUUUAUUUUCACUUGCUUUGUUCCAAGUUGUCUAGUAUUGAUUUUUGCACGAUUAUUUGCUAAUUCAAUCCAUGUGGAGAUGAUACUCAUUCUUAUCACUUUAUUACUUGUUGACUGUGUACACUUGCGCAUACUUAUCAUAUAUUAAUUUCACCGCAACAAGAAGCUCUAGAGGAAGAAGUAACUCACCUCUUAAAAUGAGGAUUCAUCAAGGAGACAAAGUAUUCGACCUGGAUAGCUAACCCUGUUCUGGUCCCGAAGCCAAACGAAAAAUGAAUAACUUAUAUUGACUUCUCUAAUCUCAACAAGGCUUGCCCAAAUGAUUGUUUUUCUUUGCCAAGAAUUGAUCAACUCGUAGAUGCCACGGUAGGACAUGAGCUCAUGUCUUUCAUGGACGCAUAUUUUGGAUAUAACCAGAUCACGAUGAACCAUGUCGACUAAUAGCAUACAAGCUUCAUGGCCGAGCAUAACGUAUAUUGCUAGAACGUCAUGCCUUUCGGGCUGACGAAUGUAGGAGCUAUGUAUCAAAGGCUGCUGAACAAAAUGUUUGCUAACUAGAUCGGCCGAAAUAUGGAGGUGUACGUCGAUGACAUGCUAGUCAAGUCGAAGACUACCAAUAACCAUGUGGUCGAUUUGGAAGAAUGUUUUGUCAUGCUGAGAAAAUACAACAUAUAGCUGAAUCCCUAGAAAUGUACCUUUGGUGUCUCAUCAGGGAAGUUCUUAGGCUUCAUCGUAAAUUCUAGGGGGAUUGAAGCCAACCCAGAGAAGACUAGAUCCUUGCUAGAGAUGCCUUCUCCUAGGUCGCGAAAGGAUGUUCAGAGUUUGAUAGGGAGAACUGCUGUUCUGAAUCGCUUUGUGUCAAAAUCUUCUGAUAAGUGUCUUCCUUUCUAUAACUUAUUAAAGGGGAACAAAAAAUUUGAGUGAACCGACGAGUGUGAGCUGACAUUUCUGGAUCUGAAGAAACAUUUGGCUGAGCCCCCUAUUCUAUCGGAACCUAUCAAUGGAGAGGCUUUGUAUCUUUAUUUUGCUGUGGGGAAAAUGUGGCCAACGUAGUUUUAGUUUGGGAAGAAGAUUAGACUUAGAAGUCAGUCUAUUACACCAACAAGAGGCUUCUAGGAGCUGAAAAUUGAUACCUGUUGAUGGAGAGACUUGCGUUCUGCCUAGUCUUGGCCUUGAGGAAGUUACAGCCUCACCAAUCAGCCUUUAAGGCAGGUAUUGCAAAACCUGAGACAUUGGGGCGAUUGUUAAACUGGGCCAUCAAACUCAGUCAGUUCGAGAUUUUAUAUAAACCAUGAUCAACCAUCAAAGGGCAUACCCUAACUGAUUUUGUGUCAGAGUGCACUAGUUUUUAGGAUGAACCAAUAAGGGGGCCAGUGCAAGAAUCGUGGAAACUGUUCGUGGAUGGGUUAUCUAAUGAGCACAGGUCAGGAGCUGGAAUCAUUUUGACUACUCCAGAAAGACAUUGCUUCCAUAUUGCUCUAAGGUUUGGAUUCAAAGCCUCAAAUAAGAAGUUAAGUAUGAAGCUUUUAUGACUGGAGUUCGAGUAGCUAAGGAGUUAAA
Molecule: RNA transcript, 8605 nt
Organism: Humulus lupulus (European hop)
Lineage: Eukaryota; Viridiplantae; Streptophyta; Magnoliopsida; Rosales; Cannabaceae
Gene name: KH domain-containing protein HEN4
Exons: 9
Source: RefSeq, a predicted model, not a curated record